RNAcentral lists this ribosomal RNA (459 nucleotides) under uncultured bacterium. RNAcentral's name for it is "partial 16S ribosomal RNA". It matches the Rfam family "Bacterial small subunit ribosomal RNA", at positions 338 to 795 of the family's 1533-position model. The record is from RNAcentral.
CCUACGGGCGGCAGCAGUGAGGAAUAUUGGUCAAUGGGAGAGAUCCUGAACCACCCAAGCCGCGUGAGGGAAGACGGCCCUAUGGGUUGUAAACCUCUUUUGUCGGAGAACAAAACCAGGGAAGUGUCCCGGACUGCGUGUAUCCGAAGAAAAAGCAUCGGCUAACUCCGUGCCAGCAGACGAGGGAAUACGGGGGAUGCGAGCGUUAGCCGGAUUGAUUGGGGUUAUAGGGUGCGUGGGCGGGCCGUUAAGUCAGCGGGAAAAUUGCGGGGCUCAACCCCGUCGAGCCGUUGAAACUGGCAGACUAGAGGUGGCUAGAAGGACGCGGAAUGCGCGGUGUAGCGGUGAAAUGCAGAGAUAUCGCGCAGAACUCCGAUUGCGAAGGCAGCGUACCGGCGCCAGACUGACGCUGAGGCACGAAAGCGUGGGGAUCGAACAGGAUUAGAUACCCUUGUAGUC